Non-coding RNA from Pan troglodytes (chimpanzee), 148 nucleotides. It matches the Rfam family "Metazoan signal recognition particle RNA". From Rfam's summary of the family: The signal recognition particle (SRP) is a universally conserved ribonucleoprotein. The record is from Rfam. Lineage: Eukaryota; Metazoa; Chordata; Mammalia; Primates; Hominidae.
GCUGGGCAUGCUGGUGCGUGCCUGUAAUCCCAGCUAUUCAGGAGGCCGAGGCAGGAGAAUUGCUUGAACCCAGGAGGUGGAGGUUGCAGUGAGCCGAGAUCAUGCCACUGCACUCCUGCCUGGGUAACAGAGCGAGACUCUGUCUCAA